RNAcentral lists this long non-coding RNA (749 nucleotides) under Androctonus crassicauda. Lineage: Eukaryota; Metazoa; Arthropoda; Arachnida; Scorpiones; Buthidae. The record is from RNAcentral.
GAAAAUGUUCUAUCUUUAUUAACUUGACCAUAUCAUUUAACUCAGAUUUUAAUCCUUUAGCAACUAUUAAUUGCCGAUUUACAUCACUAACUAAAUCUAGCCAGGUACCUGGAUCUUCAUAAUUUAUAACUUCGGUAACUUGUAAAUUGGUAGUCACUUCAGUUUUAUCUUCAGUUGAAGUAAAUUCUUCAUAUCGUAAAUUGUUCUUACCAACUGCGUUGGUUGUAAUACUGGUUGUUACUUCAAUUUCAAGUCCAAGCAGUUUUUUUCUUUAUAAUCAGGGUUUAAAUUAUCCUUAGCGUUUAUUUCAAUGUUCACAUCAGAGUUAGCUGCUACAGAUCCAGGCGAAGAAGAUUCAUUAUUACUUUUAUCAGUAGUUAAACUAUUAGCACAUUGCUUACUUGAAAUUUCAAUAUCUUGGUAUUCUUCAGUCUUCAAAUAUUUCAGCAAUAAAUGUUUUUCUUUUAAAUCUUUUUCUACCUUCUCACGAUCCCUUUUCUCCUUUCGUUUCUGAUUUCCAGAUUUAUGAUGAUACAUUUCUGUUUAGCCAAAUUUUCAUUAUUAAAAAUGUAAUUUUAAUAAUUAAAAAGUCACUUAUAAUAUGUAGGAUUAAAUUUUUUGUUGUUGAUCUUUCAAUAGUAUGUAGAGAUAUGUUAAAGAGAAAAGGAGAACACGGGUUGACUGUAAGAAAGGAUACUUUAUUCUCUGACAAAAACAACAGAAUUCAACUACAAUUGAAGAAGGAAGUA